UACGUAAGGGGCUAGCGUUGUCGGAAUUACUGGGCGUAAAGCGCGCGUAGGCGGUGAUCUUUGUCAGAGGUGAAAGCCUGGGGCUCAACUCCAGAAUUGCCUUUGAAACGGGAUCGCUUGAGUCCGAGAGAGGAUGGCGGAAUUCCUAGUGUAGAGGUGAAAUUCGUAGAUAUUAGGAAGAACACCGGUGGCGAAGGCGGCCAUCUGGCUCGGUACUGACGCUCAGGCGCGAAAGCAUGGGGAGCAAACAGG
This 252-nucleotide ribosomal RNA is filed under the name uncultured bacterium. RNAcentral's name for it is "partial 16S ribosomal RNA". It matches the Rfam family "Bacterial small subunit ribosomal RNA", at positions 524 to 776 of the family's 1533-position model. The record is from RNAcentral.